UACAGAGGGGGCAAGCGCUGUUCGGAAUUACUGGGCGUAAAGGGCGCGUAGGCGGUGUGUCAAGUCAGGCGUGAAAGCCCCGGGCUCAACCUGGGAACCGCGCUUGAGACUGGCACGCUAGAGUUCGGGAGAGGAUGGUGGAAUUCCCAGUGUAGAGGUGAAAUUCGUAGAUAUUGGGAAGAACACCGAUGGCGAAGGCAGCCAUCUGGACCGACACUGACGCUGAGGCGCGAAAGCGUGGGGAGCGAACAGG
Molecule: ribosomal RNA, 253 nt
Filed under: uncultured bacterium
Lineage: Bacteria
Description: partial 16S ribosomal RNA
Rfam family: Bacterial small subunit ribosomal RNA
Source: RNAcentral